This 490-nucleotide ribosomal RNA is filed under the name uncultured bacterium. RNAcentral describes it as "partial 16S ribosomal RNA". It matches the Rfam family "Bacterial small subunit ribosomal RNA", at positions 30 to 507 of the family's 1533-position model. The record is from RNAcentral.
AUUGAACGCUGGCGGCAGGCCUAACACAUGCAAGUCGAACGGUAACAGGAAGACGCUUGCUUCUUUGCUGACGAGUGGCGGACGGGUGAGUAAUGUCUGGGAAACUGCCUGAUGGAGGGGGAUAACUACUGGAAACGGUAGCUAAUACCGCAUAACGUCGCAAGACCAAAGAGGGGGACCUUCGGGCCUCUUGCCAUCGGAUGUGCCCAGAUGGGAUUAGCUAGUAGGUGGGGUAACGGCUCACCUAGGCGACGAUCCCUAGCUGGUCUGAGAGGAUGACCAGCCACACUGGAACUGAGACACGGUCCAGACUCCUGCGGGAGGCAGCAGUGGGGAAUAUUGCACAAUGGGCGCAAGCCUGAUGCAGCCAUGCCGCGUGUAUGAAGAAGGCCUUCGGGUUGUAAAGUACUUUCAGCGGGGAGGAAGGGAGUAAAGUUAAUACCUUUGCUCAUUGACGUUACCCGCAGAAGAAGCACCGGCUAACUCCGUG